Molecule: long non-coding RNA, 570 nt
Organism: Drosophila miranda
Lineage: Eukaryota; Metazoa; Arthropoda; Insecta; Diptera; Drosophilidae
Exons: 2
Source: RefSeq, a predicted model, not a curated record
UCGAAAAAGUUCAGUUGUAAUUUUUAUCUCAAACCCUCAACACCUUCCACAACAUCUGAAAGUAUUGGAAUGAAAUUUUACAAACUAUAAAAUUUCCAAGUAAAUAUUUUUCGGUUUGUGCUCCUAAAUCCGUGAAGCUUUUGGCAAAAACUGGCAAAACCCAAGAAAUACUCUCGUAUUUCAUCGGCAAAGAAGAAAUCAUGUGCGGCGGUUACGGUUGUGGCAGCUACGGCUAUGGUCCCUCUGGUCCAUGCGGGGCCUGGUGCGGGUCAUACUGCGGCCCCUCGUGCGGCCCCUGCUGUGGACCUUCGUGCGGUCCCUGCGGCUGCUCGGGCGGUUGCUGUGGGUCGCUCGGUUGCGGCCCAAGCGGGCCGGCCUGUUGGCCAUACGGGUUGUAUACUUGCUGAGCUUCAGAAAGAUUUCAGGAACCAAUGAGAGACCGAAGUAUCCAUCCACAUACUCGUAAAACGAGAGGUGCGUCUACUCCGACUACCUUUUUGGAUGAGCUGAAAAUUGUAUUAGGAAAGGAAACAUCUCAUUAAAAACCUGGAGGCUAUUGACAUAAAAACA